AGUGAACGCUGGCGGUAGGCCUAACACAUGCAAGUCGAACGGCAUCACAGUAAGAGCUUGCUCUUACGGGUGGCGAGUGGCGGACGGGUGAGGAAUACAUCGGAAUCUACUUCUUCGUGGGGGAUAACGUAGGGAAACUUACGCUAAUACCGCAUACGACCUACGGGUGAAAGCAGGGUAUCUUCGGACCUUGCGCGAUUGAAUGAGCCGAUGUCGGAUUAGCUAGUUGGGGGGGUAAAGGCCCACCAAGGGGCCGAUCCGUAGCUGGUCUGAGAGGAUGAUCCUCCGUGCUGGAACUGGGGAACGGUCUAGACUACUCAUGAGGGCAGGAGUGGGGCAUGUUGGACAACGGGCGGAAACCUCAUCCAGCCAUACCACAUGGGUGGAGAAGGCCUUCGGGUUGUAAAGCCCUUUUGUUGGGCAAGAAAAGCAACAGGUUAAUACCCCGCUGUUCUGAAGGUACCCAAAGAAAAAACACCGGCUAACUUUGUG
Molecule: ribosomal RNA, 492 nt
Filed under: uncultured bacterium
Lineage: Bacteria
Description: partial 16S ribosomal RNA
Rfam family: Bacterial small subunit ribosomal RNA
Source: RNAcentral